GAUUCGGACUCAUGCAGUAUUAACGCCCGAACCUUGUCAGGGUCGGAAGACAGCAGCAAUAAGGGAUGCUUAACACAGGCGUGAUC
Molecule: signal recognition particle RNA, 86 nt
Filed under: Pleurocapsa sp. CCALA 161
Lineage: Bacteria; Bacillati; Cyanobacteriota; Cyanophyceae; Pleurocapsales; Pleurocapsaceae
Description: Bacterial small signal recognition particle RNA
Rfam family: Bacterial small signal recognition particle RNA
About the family: The signal recognition particle (SRP) is a universally conserved ribonucleoprotein involved in the co-translational targeting of proteins to membranes. Archaeal SRP consists of a 7S RNA and homologues of the eukaryotic SRP19 and SRP54 proteins.
Source: Rfam by way of RNAcentral